RNAcentral lists this non-coding RNA (46 nucleotides) under Trichobilharzia regenti. Lineage: Eukaryota; Metazoa; Platyhelminthes; Trematoda; Strigeidida; Schistosomatidae. The record is from RNAcentral.
GUGCUGCUGAAGAGUCCCAAACUAGGAUGAAACAGCUGUCUAGUAC